CCUCAUCGCCCUCGCCAUCCGCACCGACAACCGCCUACAGGAACGGAGGCGGCAGCGUGGGCCCAGAGGGACACCCGCUGCACCUGGCCCUUCCCCGACGCUCUGGGGCGCCGCAUCGCGUCAAACCUCCCCUGAGCGACUCUCAAGAACCCGUGCCGGAGGCGAGGAGGAGCCCAUGCAGAUGGGGAGGGCCCGGCUCUCUCAAGAGGAACGACAGCGACGCUACCAGGAGGGCAGAUGCUUUUACUGCGGCGAGCGUGGCCACCUCAUCACCGCCUGUCCAGUAAAGGCCAACCAGUCGGUGGCGUUUCACUGGUCCGCCGAGGCAGACGCGGCCUUCCAGGAGCUUAAGCGGCGCUUCACUACAGC
Gasterosteus aculeatus aculeatus (three-spined stickleback) is the source of this 369-nucleotide long non-coding RNA. The record is from Ensembl. Lineage: Eukaryota; Metazoa; Chordata; Actinopteri; Perciformes; Gasterosteidae.